RNAcentral lists this transfer RNA (73 nucleotides) under Camelus bactrianus (Bactrian camel). It matches the Rfam family "tRNA". From Rfam's summary of the family: Transfer RNA (tRNA) molecules are approximately 80 nucleotides in length. Their secondary structure includes four short double-helical elements and three loops (D, anti-codon, and T loops). The record is from Rfam by way of RNAcentral. RNAcentral also lists the same sequence under 2 other names. Lineage: Eukaryota; Metazoa; Chordata; Mammalia; Artiodactyla; Camelidae.
GAGGGUAUAGCUCAAGUAGUACAGAGCAUGCUUAGCAUGCAUGAGGUCCUGGGUUCAAUCCCCAGUACCUCCU